UACGAAGGGGGCUAGCGUUGCUCGGAAUCACUGGGCGUAAAGGGUGCGUAGGCGGGUUUUUAAGUCAGGGGUGAAAUUCCGAGGCUCAACCUCGGAACUGCCUUUGAUACUGGGGAUCUGGAGUCCGGGAGAGGUGAGCGGAACUGCGAGUGUAGAGGUGAAAUUCGUAGAUAUUCGCAAGAACACCAGUGGCGAAGGCGGCUCACUGGCCCGGAACUGACGCUGAGGUGCGAAAGCGUGGGGAGCAAACAGG
Molecule: ribosomal RNA, 253 nt
Filed under: uncultured bacterium
Lineage: Bacteria
Description: partial 16S ribosomal RNA
Rfam family: Bacterial small subunit ribosomal RNA
Source: RNAcentral